RNAcentral lists this ribosomal RNA (323 nucleotides) under Phycisphaerales bacterium. Its description in RNAcentral is "bacterial SSU rRNA". It matches the Rfam family "Bacterial small subunit ribosomal RNA", at positions 1212 to 1533 of the family's 1533-position model. The record is from RNAcentral. Lineage: Bacteria; Pseudomonadati; Planctomycetota; Phycisphaerae; Phycisphaerales.
AGCUACACACGUGCUACAAUGCGUCGUACAAAGGGAUCCGAUACCGCGAGGUGGGGGAAAUCUCAGAAAGCGGCGCUCAGUUCGGAUUGGAGUCUGCAACUCGACUCCAUGAAGUUGGAAUCGCUAGUAAUCGCGGGUCAGCCAUACCGCGGUGAAUAUGUUCCUGAGCCUUGUACACACCGCCCGUCAAGCCACGAAAGCGGGGGGCGCCUAAAGUCGCUGUGCUAACCGUAGGGAGGCAGGUGCCUAGGGCGAACUUCGUGAUUGGGACUAAGUCGUAACAAGGUAGCAGUAGGAGAACCUGCGGCUGGAUCACCUCCUUU